Molecule: ribosomal RNA, 820 nt
Filed under: uncultured bacterium
Lineage: Bacteria
Description: bacterial SSU rRNA
Rfam family: Bacterial small subunit ribosomal RNA
Source: RNAcentral
CCGGCGGACGUUUUAGCUACAGUCGAACGGCAGUGGGGGGUAACUCCCAUGAGAGUGGCGAACGGGUGAGUAACACGUAGGUGAUCUGCCUUGAGGAUGGGGAUAGCUUGUGGAAACACAGGGUAAUACCGAAUAAGCUGGCGGGGCUUUGGCUCUGUUAGUAAAGGUGCUACGGCACCGCCUUAAGAGGAGCCUGCGGCUGAUUAGCUAGUUGGUGGGGUAAAGGCCUACCAAGGCGACGAUCAGUAGCCGGCCUGAGAGGGUGUACGGCCACACUGGAACUGAGACACGGUCCAGACUCCUACGGGAGGCAGCAGCUAAGAAUCUUCCGCAAUGGGCGAAAGCCUGACGGAGCGAUGCCGCGUGAUCGAUGAAGGUCGAGAGAUUGUAAAGAUCUUUUACAGCUGAGGAAUAAGUCUCGGAGGGAAUGCCGGGAUGAUGACGUUAAGCUGUGAAUAAGCCCCGGCUAAUUACGUGCCAGCAGCCGCGGUAAUACGUAAGGGGCGAGCGUUGUUCGGAAUUAUUGGGCGUAAAGGGCACGCAGGCGGUUAUACAAGUCCGAUGUUAAAGACCUGGGCUUAACUCAGGGGAUGCGUUGGAAACUGUAUGACUAGAAUCUUGGAGGGGGAGUCGGAAUUCCUAGUGUAGGGGUGAAAUCUGUUGAUAUUAGGAAGAACACCGGUGGCGAAGGCGGACUCCUGGCCGAAGAUUGACGCUGAGGUGCGAAAGCAUAGGGAGCAAACAGGAUUAGAUACCCUGGUAGUCUAUGCUGUAAACGAUGUGCACUUGGUGUUGGGGCCGAUUAGGUUCAGUGCCGAAG